UACAGAGGGUGCGAGCGUUAAUCGGAAUUACUGGGCGUAAAGGGUGCGUAGGUGGUUAUUUAAGUCAGAUGUGAAAGCCCUGGGCUUAACCUAGGAAUUGCAUUUGAUACUGAGUAGCUAGAGUACGGUAGAGGGAAGUGGAAUUUCCGGUGUAGCGGUGAAAUGCGUAGAUAUCGGAAGGAACAUCAGUGGCGAAGGCGGCUUCCUGGACUGAUACUGACACUGAGGCACGAAAGCAUGGGGAGCAAACAGGAUUAGAUACCCUGGUAGUCCAUGCCGUAAACGAUGAGAACUAGAUGUUAGGUGGCAAUGCGUUACCUAGUAUCGAAGCUAACGCGAUAAGUUCUCCGCCUGGGGAGUACGGCCGCAAGGUUAAA
Molecule: ribosomal RNA, 377 nt
Filed under: uncultured bacterium
Lineage: Bacteria
Description: bacterial SSU rRNA
Rfam family: Bacterial small subunit ribosomal RNA
Source: RNAcentral